AGAGAGAGACAUGCGCGCAUAUCAAUAAGCGGAGGAAAAGAAACUAACAAGGAUUCCCUUAGUAACGGCGAGUGAAGCGGGAAGAGCUCAAAUUUGAAAUCUUCAAGGGUUUACCUUUACGAAUUGUAGUUUAAAGAAGUGUUUUCUGUUGAAGGUUUCGGUAAAAGUUCUUUGGAAUAGGACAUCAUAGAGGGUGAGAAUCCCGUAUUUGACCUUUACUUUUCAACUGUGUGAUACACUUUCAAAGAGUCGGAUUGUUUGGGAAUGCAGUCCAAAAUGGGUGGUAAAUUUCAUCUAAAGCUAAAUAUUGGCGAGAGACCGAUAGCGAACAAGUACCGUGAGGGAAAGAUGAAAAGAACUUUGAAAAGAGAGUUAAACAGUACGUGAAAUUGUCAAAAGGGAAGCGUUUGACACCAGUGUUGUUUUUCUGAAAAUCAAUUAAAGAACUGUUUAUGCUAAGCUGUUUAGACUUUAUCAGCUAACUGUUUAGUUUUGAGCUUUUCUUUAAUGCACUUUUCAGUUAACAAGUCAACAUCAAUUUCUUUUGCUGUAAAAAAGCUUGAGGAAGGUGGCUUGAGAUUCGUCUUAAGUGUUUAUAGCCUCUUGCCUAUGCAGUCGGAGAGAUUGAGGUCUGCAGCGUAGAUCCUUCGGGGCUAAAUGCAUUUGUGCUAAGUUAUAGCAUUUUAUAGACAACUUGUUGACUAUGAUUUGUCUUGUAGCUUACUCGCUUAUGUUAUUUUACCUACGCUUAGGAUGUUGAGCGCAUGUCUCUCUCU
RNAcentral lists this ribosomal RNA (776 nucleotides) under uncultured Neocallimastigales. RNAcentral's name for it is "partial large subunit ribosomal RNA". It matches the Rfam family "Eukaryotic large subunit ribosomal RNA", at positions 23 to 616 of the family's 3401-position model. Lineage: Eukaryota; Fungi; Neocallimastigomycota; Neocallimastigomycetes; Neocallimastigales. The record is from RNAcentral.